RNAcentral lists this long non-coding RNA (1515 nucleotides) under Homo sapiens (human). RNAcentral's name for it is "ARL14EP divergent transcript, transcript variant 7 (ARL14EP-DT)". Lineage: Eukaryota; Metazoa; Chordata; Mammalia; Primates; Hominidae. The record is from RNAcentral.
AGAUGCUGUCUUUUGCAGUCCUCCGAGAGAUGGUCUGAGAGUACCUGUGCUGAAAUGGAAUUGUCUUUGAGUGGACACUUCUUAGAUGAGACCUAUUGUGGCCAAUAGCUCCUGAGGAACUGAAGCCUUCAGUUCAAAACUUGUGUGAGAAAAAUGAAUCUUGCCAACUACUGGAGUGAGCUUAGAAAUGAAUCCAUCCCCAGUUGACCCUUGAAUGUAGCCUUGUCAGAGACCCAGAGACAAAGCAUCCUGCUAAUCUGCACUGGGUUCUAGGCCCACAGAAACCAUGGGAUAAUAACUUUGUGUUGCUAUAAGCCACUGAAAACAAACAAAUAAAAUACUUAAGAUGUUCCCCUGUGGAAGGGUUCCAUUGCCAGGGAUCUGCACUUCACAACCAAAGGGAUUAAAGAGAAUUGCCUUCUUCAGAUUUCAGACUGUGGCCUGCUUCUGGUUUUUCUUUCUAUAUUCAUAUAUAUGUUUGUUUAAAUCAUCCUACUUUUGGAGCAGGAAAAGUUACUAUUACAGUUUAUACAAAGGGAAGAAAUCUGGUACAUGCUAAAGUUAUUCAUCUGUAACUACCUGACGAGCCCAAUUAGUUGCUUGCUCCUAUGGAUUCUGAGCCUAAAAUCCCUUCAACAGAUCUUUGACCUUUUCUAAGUUAAGUUUUUGGAAGUAUCCUAUUUGUUCACUUACUUGGGCCAGAGACUAUAGAGAUUAAGAGAAAGUUUGAUAUUUGACCCUAAUUUUAGGCUAAAACAAUUUAGAUGGAAAGAACAGACACAAUUCAAUUUAACCAUCUUCAACUGCUGUGCUUUAGAAAGCUGGGAGUGUGGAGAAUGGAGUAGGUGUACAGAAAAAUAAGAACAGUUCUGUUCUUCAGGGCUUGAUAAAGGCUGCUGUGAGUUGGAUGGACAAUAAUUACUACUGACUAGGUCUAGCUGGGAUAGUUAGGGGAGACUUUCUGAAAGAGGCAACACAUGAGCUGGGUUCUAAAUCUCAAAUAGGAUUUGAUGGCUGAAGAUGAGGGUAAUAAAACAAGAGAAACAAGUACAUUCCAGAUAGAAAGAAUAGUAUAAGCCAAGAAAAACCUAUUCCAGGGCAGCAGGGAAGAGUCUGAAGUGGCAAAACAAAGUAGGAGGCAAAGCUGUCAAUAUAAGUAACUUGGUAGAGAAACAUUAGGAGUUUGGAUUUUAUCCCAUUGACUAGGAGGAUUUAAAAACAGAAAAUGCUCACAGGGGCCAGGCAAGUUAUGAGUAAAUAAAAGGUCCAGGUGUAAGUGCAACAGGGCCCAUGGACAUAGGAAUGGGGGAUGUGAAAAACCAACCUUUGCUAACAGUGAGUUCUACUAUGCAGUUUUAGCUGAUUAUAGCCAGACUCGAAAGCAACCUUUGUAGGGUUGACAGUUCUUGUGAUUGUUCAAGAAAAAAAUUUAUGUAAAAUCUACUGACUUGAAAAUACUAGAUUAAUUUAUUUAAUGUUAUAGAGCUCAAAUAAAACACAUUUGUCUUAUUUAUA